UAAGAUUCUUAGCUUCCAUACAACCUUAAAACCUCAACUCCUAGUCCUAACCCAUACACCCUACUCUGCCACUUUAGCUUGCCUACACUCUAGCCUACACUAUACACUCUACACCAUACACUAUAGUGCCCCAUGAACCUUAGCCUACCCUAUACACCUUAGUUUCUAUACACCAUACCCUAACCUAACCCACCUAGGCCAUACACCUAAGCCCUACACCCUAGCCUUGACCCACAAGAGCCAAGACCUCUC
This 252-nucleotide long non-coding RNA is filed under the name Amborella trichopoda. Its description in RNAcentral is "long non-coding RNA (ATRI_LNC004259)". The record is from RNAcentral. Lineage: Eukaryota; Viridiplantae; Streptophyta; Magnoliopsida; Amborellales; Amborellaceae.